Molecule: long non-coding RNA, 685 nt
Filed under: Vitis vinifera (wine grape)
Lineage: Eukaryota; Viridiplantae; Streptophyta; Magnoliopsida; Vitales; Vitaceae
Description: long non-coding RNA (VVIN_LNC002701)
Source: RNAcentral
UUCCCUACCCCACAUCUACACCAAAGUCAAGUUGAACCCUUCUCGGGUUUAUUCACCUUCUUCCCUACCCAACAUCACUCACCAUCUCUGUCAUCCUAAACCUCCCAAUUGUUGCCCUAACAGUCAUGGUUGUGCUGCUCGGUCGCCUUAGAAAAUUAUACGACAACAACCUUCCCCACCCCACAUCUGCACCAAAGUCAAGUUGAACCCUUCUCGGGUUUAUUCACCUUCUUCCCUACCCAACAUCAUUCACCAUCUCUGUCAUCCUAAACCUCCUAAUUGUUGCCCUAACAGUCAUGGUUGUGCUGCUCGGUCGCCUUAGAAAAUUAUACGACAACAACCUUCCCCACCCCGCAUCUACACCAAAGUCAAGUUGAACCCUUCUCGGGUUUAUUCACCUUCUUCCCUACCCAACAUCACUCACCAUCUCUGUCAUCCUAAACCUCCCAAUUGUUGCCCUAACAGUCAUGGUUGUGCUGCUCGGUCGCCUUAGAAAAUUAUACGACAACAACCUUCCCCACCCCCACAUCUACACCAAAGUCAAGUUGAACCAUUCUCGGGUUUAUUCACCUUCUUCCCUACCCAACAUCACUCACCAUCUCUGUCAUCCUAAACCUCCCCAAUCGUUGCCCUAACAGUCAUGGUUGUGCUGCUCAGUCGCCUUAGAAAAUUAUACGACAACAAC